ACACCCUGUGAUUAUAUAAAGACGCGUUAUUCUGAGGGAAUCCACUGGAUGGCAGUUUUCUACCUACUUAUCUACCCAUCUUCUUUACCUCUUCCUUUAAACUCUUCUUCUAUCCCUCACUCUUCAACUGUCAGCCAGUCCACUGACUGCGAUUAUGAGAUAUGAGGGUGU
Non-coding RNA from Paramisgurnus dabryanus, 171 nucleotides. The record is from RefSeq and is a predicted model, not a curated record. Lineage: Eukaryota; Metazoa; Chordata; Actinopteri; Cypriniformes; Cobitidae.